GAACCAUGAUGUUGUAAGUCGCUUUGGAUAAAAGCGUCUGCUAAACGACCUGUA
Molecule: non-coding RNA, 54 nt
Organism: Gasterosteus aculeatus (three-spined stickleback)
Lineage: Eukaryota; Metazoa; Chordata; Actinopteri; Perciformes; Gasterosteidae
Source: Rfam